AACAGCAGUACAAGUAAAUUAGUUUAAUUUGCACCUAAAAUUAGGUGCAAUGGGUCCAGGAGUCAGUUCACUCAGAAAGGCUUUAGUAUAUUCUGAUGGUUCAGGAGAAACGCAGCACUUACAUAUAUGGGGUGUAUGACUUUAAAUCUGCUAAAGGCAGAGUCAAACUUUCUACACACCAAAUAAUCUACUUUUAACUCAAAGAUUUAAACUGUAAGGGUGAUAUAGGAAAACAGUAUGAGGAACUGUUUCCUAUUUGUAACAUAAAUUGUCACAAUUAUAUACGGUGUGUGUGUGUCCCUAAAUCUGUAACAAACAGAAUAAGGCAAAGUAUAUACCGAAUGGUGUACUCUAUGACAAAAGAUGAAAACUUUAUGUAAUAGACAUACAGUAUCUAUGACUGUGUUCUGAAAGUAACUAUCACUUAAAAUAAUAAAUGUUGGAAUAAAUAAAAUAAAAUAAAAUUAAUACAACGUUUAUUGGGCAUAUUGGUUAAAUUAAAAACACUAAAAAUAUAUUCAGAUCAUACCAAUAAUUAAAAAAUAUGAGCCAGGAACGUAUUGCAAGAAUAUUACCAGCAAUUGGGCAGUUCUUGAAUCAAAUAAACCGCAGGACCGUCCAGGAUGGAUGUGGAUACAGUGUUGCAUAAACUGUAAUUUACUUGUACUGCUGUUUAUAUAGCUUUUAUAGAUGUAGAUCAGUGCGAGCCACAGCUAGGGUUUCCUUGCUUAGCAUGGCGGCAACUGUCCACCUUGG
Non-coding RNA from Pelobates cultripes (western spadefoot toad), 756 nucleotides. The record is from the annotation of a GenBank genome assembly. NCBI's taxonomy places the organism in Eukaryota, Metazoa, Chordata, Amphibia, Anura, Pelobatidae.